GUCAGGGGAGGGGAGGGUAGGCUAGGUUAGUUAAGGUUAGGGUUAAGUUAGGUUACGUUAGGUUAGGGUUAGGUAAGGUUAGGUUAUGUUCAUGAUAAGUUUUGUAACGUUAGAGGUAUGACCGGGUAUGGUGCUGGUAAGGUUAGGUAAUGUUUUGGAUAGGUUAGGUUAGGUUAGGGUAGGUUAGGUUAAGUUAGGUUAGGUUCAUGAUAAGUUUUGUAAGGUCAGAGGUAGGUACAGGUAUGGUGCUGGUAAGGUUAGGUAUUGUUUUGGAUAGGUUAGGUUAGGUUAGGGUAGGUUAGGUAAGGUUAGGUUAAGUUAGGUUAGGUUCAUGAUAAGUUUUGUAAGGUCAGAGGUAGGUACAGGUAUGGUGCUGGUAAGGUUAGGUAUUGUUUUGGAUAGGUUAGGUUAGGUUAGGGUAGGUUAGGUAAGGUUAGGUUCAUGAUAAGUUUUGUAAGGUCAGAGGUAGGUACAGGUAUGGUGCUGGUAAGGUUAGGUAUUGUUUUGGAUAGGUUAGGUUAGGGUAGGUUAGGUAAGGUUAGGUUAAGUUAGGUUAGGUUCAUGAUAAGUUUUGUAAGGUCAGAGGUAGGUACAGGUAUGGUGCUGGUAAGGUUAGGUAUUGUUUUGGAUAGGUUAGGGUAGGUUAGGUAAGGUUAGGUUAGGUUCAUGAUAAGUUUUGUAAGGUCAGAGGUAGGUACAGGUAUGGUGCUGGUAAGGUUAGGUAAUGUUUUGGAUAGGUUAGGGUAGGUUAGGUAAGGUUAGGUUAGGUUCAUGAUAAGUUUUGUAAGGUCAGAGGUAGGUACAGGUAUGGUGCUGGUAAGGUUAGAUAUUGUUUUGGGUAGGUUAGGUUAGGUUAGGAAAGGUUAGGUAAGCUUCAGGGGUAGAGUGGUGGUUAGGUUAGGUUAGGGAAGGUUCAGGGUAGGGUGGUGGUUAGGUUAGGUUAGGUAAGAUUCAGAGGUAGGGUGGUGGUUAGGCUAGGUUCUGGGUAGGUAAGGUUUUGGUUAGGCUAGGGUAGGUUAGGUUAGAUUGGGGUAACUAUUACAUAUAUAUUUUUUAUGAUAUUUUCUUGUUUUAAUGUUUUUUUGUCUAUCUUCUCCUCC
Long non-coding RNA from Eriocheir sinensis (Chinese mitten crab), 1100 nucleotides. RefSeq lists it as uncharacterized. The record is from RefSeq and is a predicted model, not a curated record. NCBI's taxonomy places the organism in Eukaryota, Metazoa, Arthropoda, Malacostraca, Decapoda, Varunidae. The transcript has 7 exons.